Mastomys coucha (southern multimammate mouse) is the source of this 1659-nucleotide RNA transcript. It is a transcript of the gene named F-actin-capping protein subunit alpha-1 pseudogene, with no coding region annotated. Lineage: Eukaryota; Metazoa; Chordata; Mammalia; Rodentia; Muridae. The record is from RefSeq and is a predicted model, not a curated record. The transcript has 2 exons.
GCCAUGCUGGAGAUGGCUAGAUGGCUAGAGUCCCUUCACUAGGCCUCUGUUAGACAGCAUCAUUGUGAUGUAUGGUCUAUCUCACAAUGUGGGGCAGACCCUCCUGAAUUCAGUAGGGAAAGUCAAAUAUCAGAGAGAAAUGAAGAGAAGCUGACUUCUACACCUCUAACCAAAAAGUGGAUAUCCUGCCCUAACCAUCAUAUAGGUACCCCACUCUACCCAUCAUCAGGAGAGUAUCCUGUUCGACAUCAGAGCUUGUGUUCCAAAAUUAAGGAAGAUUUGACAAAGAAGAAACGCUGCAGUGAUACUAAUGUGACUAGUGGAACAGAAGAUGUCCUCCUAAAGACAAACCGCUGGAGAUAAGUAGUUUUCCCUGCUUGCCCCUGAGCAGAUGAAUGCUUUCCUCUUUACAGCUAGAAUCUCAAUCAGAGGAGGGAGGCCCUGCCCAGGAAUUAGCAAGACUGAGACUAGAAAGCAAGGCAGAGGCUUCUGUGGUAUUUUCCCUAGUCAUUGAGCAUCUUAACUAGAAUGAUUAAGCUUAGCAAAGACACAUACAGGUGGUUUCCAAUGUGAUUUAAAUCUCAGACAAACCAUAGCAGAAGAAAACUUUCUAAAGAUAUCUAUACUCCAGGCAGGGAGAAGAAACAUGCACUAUUUUGAAAAUAGUGCAAAUGUAAAAAGACAAAAUGGCCAGCUGCAAAGAUACAGCAUCUGAUGAGAAGAAGAUAUAUCUAGCUACAAAAUUCAUCAAACAAGCACCUCCAGGUGAAUUUAAGGAAGUCUUCCAUGAUAUUCGGCAGUUGAUUAAUAAUGACAAUCUUCUCAGGAAAAGGAUAGGACAGGCAAUUGCUCAAUAUAACAUGCAUCAGUUCAUACCCGUGAAGAUAGAAGGGUAUGAAGAUCAUACUUUAGUUACAGAACAUGGUCAUCUGGGUAACAACAGAUUUUUUGAUCCAAGAAACAGAAUUUCUUUUAAGUUUGAUCACCUACGAAAAAUAGUCAGUGACCUCCAACUAGAGGUUACAGAUGGAAAUUUAUCAUAUUUGAGGGAUUGCUGUGAUAGGGCUUUAAAAGCCUAUGUGAAACAGAAUUAUUCUACUGGCUUUAGUACUGUUUAUGGUAAAAUUAUACAAGGGAAAAAGACCAUUAUUGCUUGUAUUGAAAGCCACAAGUUUCAGCCAAAAAAAUUCUGGAAUGGAUGCUGGAAAUCACAGUGGAAGUUAACCAUCACUCCACCCACAGCACAGGUAAUUGGAAUGCUCAAAGUUCACGUUCAUUAUUAUGAAAAUGGAAAUAUUCAGCUAGUUGUCCAUAAGAAUGUACAAGAAUCAUUAACAGUUAUCAGUGAAGAUCAAACAGUGAAGAUGUUUAUUAAGAUCAUUGAGAGGGUAGAAAAUGGGUAUCAGGCAGCUGUUAGUGAAAACUACCACACAAUGUCAUGUACAACAUUCAAAGCCUUGCGCAGACAGCUUCCAAUUACCUACCACAAAAUGGACUGGAACAAGAUACAUACGUAUAAGAUCUGCAAAGAACUCAAGUUGAAACAUGCUUAAUGGCCCACUGUAGCAGUCUCUAGGAUGUGUGGGCUUAGAAGAUCCAACAGGGUUUACUCAUAAAAUAAAUAUGAGAGUAACUUAUGGUAUAUUGCUGAACCUAUAA